This is a long non-coding RNA of Wyeomyia smithii (pitcher-plant mosquito), 1202 nucleotides long. RefSeq lists it as uncharacterized. The transcript is spliced from 3 exons. Lineage: Eukaryota; Metazoa; Arthropoda; Insecta; Diptera; Culicidae. The record is from RefSeq and is a predicted model, not a curated record.
CGCUAUUGUUUUGCGGCAACGGGACUUAAGGUUUUUCUGUCUAAAAAUCUAUUGUUUUAUUCGUGAAUAUACGUUUAACCGCUUGCCUGAAUCUGUCUUCUUUCGGAAAUAUCGAAGGCCAACCGCAAGUCAUAUUAGGUGGUUGAUUAUCUCAUUAUCAGGCAUCAAUGAAUCAAGAAAUAAAUCAAGGUCGCCAUGUGAUUUUUGCAAGAGUUAUCAUUUUCCAAAAAACACUAAUGGCAAAGGUGCGCACGCAGACCACUCACUCGCCAAAUACGACCUCGACGACACGAACGCGUGAAUCAGACUGACUGAACGUACCUAUCGGUUCGAGUUUCUAUUCAGUGUUGGAAAAGUAUACAUAUGUUUACUACUACACAGAUUGGAGUUCACCGGCUCGCGGUGGUGACCAGCAAUAAUUGUAAACAUUAAUUUCAUAGCGGAUCAAAUAAGUUUCAAUAGUUUAGGGUAGAAAAUGAAAAGUUUCAACAAUUGAUCCUCAAUAUUUACAAUAACUGAAUAUUUACAAUAACUCUAUGUUGGAAAUUCUCAAAUGCACUUUUGAUGAACACGGUUUAGUCUUGACCAUAAAUAAAAUCGCCAUUUCUAUAAUGGUAAAAAAAUAAUGAAUCUCACCUUAAAAUUUCAUCAAUCCAUGGCGAUUGCAACAAACCUUCUGACGUCUGACAGAACAAAAGAGUGUCGCAACCGAUUUUCGCCCGUCGCAUGAAUCAUGAUAUGCCAGAAUAUAACAUCACAAAAAGCAAACUAUGGAUUAAUAAUAGUACAAACUAGGUACCUGCUAACGAUAAGUCAUUGCUCUUUAGUUUCCACUUUGGAUUAAAGGAAAUGGUUGGGAGCGUUUCGUUAGUACGGCACAGUACCAUGGUAACGCUUAUCAUUAGCCGUUGCGUGAGAAUGUGUGUUCAAACAAGUGGUAAUGAAUUCAUGAGCUAUCCUAGUGUUAUUCACUCGUCUGUGAAAUCGAACUUUGGACCUCUGCGAAUCUAGCUUUUCGCGUGCCAUUACAUGCGUUUGGCUCCCGUACUACAUAUGUCACGAUACUAUGCUAGACUCGAAGUAUCGCGUUUUGAUAAUUAAGGCUUCGUCUGCGAUAAAUUGACAAAUUUCAACAAAAGGGUAUAUAGCAACAGAAUGUUUGAGAGGAACGGUUGCUUAUUCAUAUAUGAACAAAGCCCAAU